GCAUGCUUUGCACAUGCAAGUCGAACGACAGCGCGGGGUAGCCUGGCGGCGAGUGGCGAACGGGUGAGUAAUAGCAUCGGAACGUACCCAGAAGUGGGGGAUAACGUAGCGAAAGUUACGCUAAUACCGCUUCCGUUCUUCGGAAGAAAGUGGGGGACCUUCGGGCCUCAUGCUUUUGGAGCGGCCGAUGUCUGAUUAGCUAGUUGGUGAGGUAUUUUCUCUCCCAGGCGGGGAAAAAAAGCUGGUGUGAGAGGACGACCAGCCACGCUGGGACUGAUACUCGGCCCAGGGAAAUACGGGAGGCAGC
RNAcentral lists this ribosomal RNA (307 nucleotides) under uncultured Massilia sp. RNAcentral describes it as "bacterial SSU rRNA". It matches the Rfam family "Bacterial small subunit ribosomal RNA", at positions 42 to 352 of the family's 1533-position model. Lineage: Bacteria; Pseudomonadati; Pseudomonadota; Betaproteobacteria; Burkholderiales; Oxalobacteraceae. The record is from RNAcentral.